AGAGUUUGAUCCUGGCUCAGGAUGAACGCUAGCGACAGGCUUAACACAUGCAAGUCGAGGGGCAGCGGUGGUGAAGGCUUGCCUUUACCAGCCGGCGACCGGCGCACGGGUGAGUAACACGUAUGCAACCUGCCUGCCACAGCCGGAUAAUCGGGAGAAAUUCCGUCUAAUACGGCAUAAUGCACCUAUGGGACAUCCUGUUGGUGCCAAAGGUUGAUUCCGGUGGCGGAUGGGCAUGCGUCGCAUUAGUUAGUUGGCGGUGUAACGGACCACCAAGACGACGAUGCGUAGGGGUUCUGAGAGGAAGGUCCCCCACACUGGUACUGAGACACGGACCAGACUCCUACGGGAGGCAGCAGUGAGGAAUAUUGGUCAAUGGGCGGGAGCCUGAACCAGCCAAGUCGCGUGAGGGAUGACGGCCCUAUGGGUUGUAAACCUCUUUUGCCGGGGAGCAAAGUGCCGCACGUGUGCGGUUUGGAGAGUACCCGGAGAAAAAGCAUCGGCUAACUCCGUGCCAGCAGCCGCGGUAAUACGGAGGAUGCGAGCGUUAUCCGGAUUUAUUGGGUUUAAAGGGUGCGUAGGCGGACGCUUAAGUCAGCGGUAAAAUUGCGGGGCUCAACCUCGUCGAGCCGUUGAAACUGGGUGCCUUGAGUGGGCGAGAAGUACGCGGAAUGUGUUGUGUAGCGGUGAAAUGCAUAGAUAUCACGCAGAACUCCGAUUGCGAAGGCAGCGUACCGGCGCCCAACUGACGCUGAAGCACGAAGGCGUGGGUAUCGAACAGGAUUAGAUACCCUGGUAGUCCACGCAGUAAACGAUGAAUGCUAGUUGUCCGGGGCGAUUGAGUUCUGGGUGACACAGCGAAAGCGUUAAGCAUUCCACCUGGGGAGUACGCCGGCAACGGUGUAACUCAAAGGAAUUGACGGGGGCCCGCACAAGCGGAGGAACAUGUGGUUUAAUUCGAUGAUACGCGAGGAACCUUACCCGGGCUCAAACGCAGGAGGGAUGUUUUUGAAAGGAGGCAGCCAGCAAUGGUCUCCUGCGAGGUGCUGCAUGGUUGUCGUCAGCUCGUGCCGUGAGGUGUCGGCUUAAGUGCCAUAACGAGCGCAACCCCUACCUACAGUUGCCAUCGCGUGAUGGCGGGCACUCUGUGGGGACUGCCUGCGCAAGCAGUGAGGAAGGCGGGGAUGACGUCAAAUCAGCACGGCCCUUACGUCCGGGGCGACACACGUGUUACAAUGGCAGGUACAGCGGGAAGCCACCCGGCGACGGGGCGCGGAACCCGAAAACCUGUCUCAGUUCGGAUUGGAGUCUGCAACCCGACUCCAUGAAGCUGGAUUCGCUAGUAAUCGCGCAUCAGCCACGGCGCGGUGAAUACGUUCCCGGGCCUUGCACACACCGCCCGUCAAG
This 1407-nucleotide ribosomal RNA is filed under the name uncultured bacterium. RNAcentral's name for it is "bacterial SSU rRNA". It matches the Rfam family "Bacterial small subunit ribosomal RNA". The record is from RNAcentral.